AGUAAGGCUAUGGCAAGAACUCAUCCACUUACAGAGUAUGCUACUCUAAAAUUGGAUAUCUCGGUUGAGGAAGGUCGAACAAUGGAGGUGAAUCCCAUCAAUGCUUUUAAAUUCACAUUUUCUUCUAGUGAUCGGAAGUAUGUUGUUGAUCUUCGUGCUAGGAGUUGUUGUUGUCAUGAGUUUGAUCUUGACUUGAUUCGUUGCCCUCGUGCUGUUGUUACUAUAUUGUAAGUUCUUAAAUUUUUUUUGUUUGUUUUUGGUGUUUUUUAUUAUUUUUGUGGUAUAUUUUUAUUUUUUGAAAUUGAUUUUUUAUAAUGUUGCAGCAAGUUCAAACAACCUUGUAUUCCAUAUGUGUCUAGUUACUACACCAUAGAGACAUUACAUGAGAUGUAUUCUAUUGAUGUGAAUCUUAUUCCACAUCAAGACGAAUGGGAUUUUCCUUUGGAUGUGAGGACAAGGGUAGUUGGUGUGCCUGAGAAUCCUAGAUAGGCAAGGCAUCCACGAACUUC
RNAcentral lists this long non-coding RNA (509 nucleotides) under Salvia miltiorrhiza (redroot sage). RNAcentral's name for it is "long non-coding RNA (SMIL_LNC003951)". The record is from RNAcentral. Lineage: Eukaryota; Viridiplantae; Streptophyta; Magnoliopsida; Lamiales; Lamiaceae.